Molecule: ribosomal RNA, 253 nt
Filed under: uncultured bacterium
Lineage: Bacteria
Description: partial 16S ribosomal RNA
Rfam family: Bacterial small subunit ribosomal RNA
Source: RNAcentral
UACGUAGGGUGCAAGCGUUGUCCGGAAUUAUUGGGCGUAAAGGGCUCGUAGGCGGUCCAUCGCGUCGGGAGUGAAAAGCUGGGGCUCAACCCCAGUCCUGCUUUCGAUACGGGUGGACUAGAGGUAGGCAGGGGAGAACGGAAUUCCUGGUGUAGCGGUGAAAUGCGCAGAUAUCAGGAGGAACACCGGUAGCGAAGGCGGUUCUCUGGGCCUUACCUGACGCUGAGGAGCGAAAGCGUGGGGAGCAAACAGG